GACGAACCACACGAACGUUAUUCGGAAUUACUGGGCUUAAAGGGUGCGUAGGUGGUUGAGUAAGUUAAGUGUGAAAUCCCCGGGCUUAACCUGGGAACUGCGCUUAAUACUGCUUAACUAGAGUACUGUAGAGGAAGGUGGAAUUUCCAGUGUAGCGGUGAAAUGCGUAGAUAUUGGAAGGAACAUCAGUGGCGAAGGCGACUUUCUGGACAGAUACUGACACUGAGGCACGAAAGCAUGGGGAGCAAACAGG
RNAcentral lists this ribosomal RNA (253 nucleotides) under uncultured bacterium. RNAcentral's name for it is "partial 16S ribosomal RNA". It matches the Rfam family "Bacterial small subunit ribosomal RNA", at positions 524 to 776 of the family's 1533-position model. The record is from RNAcentral.